This 426-nucleotide ribosomal RNA is filed under the name uncultured bacterium. RNAcentral describes it as "bacterial SSU rRNA". It matches the Rfam family "Bacterial small subunit ribosomal RNA", at positions 359 to 776 of the family's 1533-position model. The record is from RNAcentral.
GAAUCUUGGGCAAUGGGCGAAAGCCUGACCCAGCGACGCCGCGUGAGGGAUGAAGGCCUUCGGGUCGUAAACCUCUGUCGGGAGGGAAGAACGUCGGUGAGGUGAAUAAUCUCGUCGGUUGACGGUACCUCCAGAGGAAGCGCCGGCUAACUCCGUGCCAGCCGCCGCGGUAAUACGGAGGGCGCAAGCGGUGUUCGGAAGCACUGGGCGUAAAGCGCGUGGAGGCGGCCGGGCAAGUCGGAUGUGAAAUCCCGAGGCUCAACCUCGGAACUGCAUUCGAAACUGCUCGGCUCGAGUCCCGGAGAGGAUGGCGGAAUUCCCGGUGUAGGGGUGAAAUCCGUAGAUAUCGGGAGGAACACCAGUGGCGAAGGCGGCCAUCUGGACGGUGACUGACGCUGAGACGCGAAAGCGUGGGGAGCAAACAGG